RNAcentral lists this transfer RNA (70 nucleotides) under Bacteroidota bacterium. Its description in RNAcentral is "tRNA-Val(tac)". It matches the Rfam family "tRNA". Rfam says of the family: Transfer RNA (tRNA) molecules are approximately 80 nucleotides in length. RNAcentral also lists the same sequence under 2 other names. The record is from RNAcentral. Lineage: Bacteria; Pseudomonadati; Bacteroidota.
GCGUUUAGCUCAGCUGGUUCAGAGCAUCUGCCUUACAAGCAGAGGGUCGGCGGUUCGAAUCCGUCAACGC